UACGGUAGGGUGCGAGCGUUGUCCGGAAUUAUUGGGCGUAAAGGGCUCGUAGGCGGUUUGUCGCGUCGGGAGUGAAAACUCAGGGCCUUAACCCUGGAGCCUGCUUCCGAUACGGGCAGACUAGAGGUAUGCAGGGGAGGAACGGAAUUCCGUGGUGUAGCGGUGAAAUGCGCAGAUAUCAGGAGGAACACCAGUGGCGAAGGCGGUUCACUGGGCAUUACCUGACGUGAGGAGCGAAACGUGUGGGGAGCGAACAGGA
Molecule: ribosomal RNA, 259 nt
Filed under: uncultured bacterium
Lineage: Bacteria
Description: partial 16S ribosomal RNA
Rfam family: Bacterial small subunit ribosomal RNA
Source: RNAcentral